This 429-nucleotide ribosomal RNA is filed under the name Pseudomonadota bacterium. RNAcentral's name for it is "Proteobacteria bacterium partial 16S ribosomal RNA". It matches the Rfam family "Bacterial small subunit ribosomal RNA", at positions 355 to 776 of the family's 1533-position model. Lineage: Bacteria; Pseudomonadati; Pseudomonadota. The record is from RNAcentral.
UGGGGAAUAUUGGACAAUGGGCGAAAGCCUGAUCCAGCCAUGCCGCGUGUGUGAAGAAGGUCUUCGGAUUGUAAAGCACUUUAAGUUGGGAGGAAGGGCAGUAAGCGAAUACCUUGCUGUUUUGACGUUACCGACAGAAUAAGCACCGGCUAACUCUGUGCCAGCAGCCGCGGUAAUACAGAGGGUGCAAGCGUUAAUCGGAAUUACUGGGCGUAAAGCGCGCGUAGGUGGUUCGUUAAGUUGAAUGUGAAAGCCCCGGGCUCAACCUGGGAACUGCAUCCAAAACUGGCGAGCUAGAGUAUGGCAGAGGGUGGUGGAAUUUCCUGUGUAGCGGUGAAAUGCGUAGAUAUAUGAAGGAACACCAGUGGCGAAGGCGACCACCUGGGCUCAUACUGACACUGAGGUGCGAAAGCGUGGGGAGCAAACAGG